This is a small nucleolar RNA of Manihot esculenta (cassava), 92 nucleotides long. RefSeq annotates it as small nucleolar RNA snoR31. Lineage: Eukaryota; Viridiplantae; Streptophyta; Magnoliopsida; Malpighiales; Euphorbiaceae. The transcript has a single exon. The record is from RefSeq and is a predicted model, not a curated record.
UGGAUGAGGAUGAGGCAGUAAUAUAAUAAUCCAACACUUGAUCUGAGGCUUUCGUAGUCAAGUGAUGCGUACAUAAUGACUUCUGAAUCUGC